Molecule: ribosomal RNA, 440 nt
Filed under: uncultured bacterium
Lineage: Bacteria
Description: partial 16S ribosomal RNA
Rfam family: Bacterial small subunit ribosomal RNA
Source: RNAcentral
ACUACGGGAGGCAGCAGUGGGGAAUAUUGCACAAUGGGGGAAACCCUGAUGCAGCGACGCCGCGUGAGCGAUGAAGUAUUUCGGUAUGUAAAGCUCUAUCAGCAGGGAAGAAAAUGACGGUACCUGACUAAGAAGCCCCGGCUAACUACGUGCCAGCAGCCGCGGUAAUACGUAGGGGGCAAGCGUUAUCCGGAUUUACUGGGUGGAAAGGGAGCGUAGACGGUCCUGCAAGCCAGAUGUGAAAGCCCGGGGCUCAACCCCGGGACUGCAUUUGGAACUGUAAGGCUAGAGUGUCGGAGAGGCAGGCGGAAUUCCUAGUGUAGCGGUGAAAUGCGUAGAUAUUAGGAGGAACACCAGUGGCGAAGGCGGCCUGCUGGACGAUGACUGACGUUGAGGCUCGAAAGCGUGGGGAGCAAACAGGAUUAGAUACCCUAGUAGUC